GGGCGAGUGUUGUAAUUGGUAGCCAAGGCAGACUUAAAAUCUGCUGACUUCACGGUCGUGCGGGUUCAAGUCCCGCCUCGCCCACCA
RNAcentral lists this transfer RNA (87 nucleotides) under Candidatus Saccharimonadota bacterium. Its description in RNAcentral is "tRNA-Leu". It matches the Rfam family "tRNA". From Rfam's summary of the family: Transfer RNA (tRNA) molecules are approximately 80 nucleotides in length. Their secondary structure includes four short double-helical elements and three loops (D, anti-codon, and T loops). The record is from RNAcentral. Lineage: Bacteria; Candidatus Saccharimonadota.